Small nucleolar RNA from Apteryx haastii (Great spotted kiwi), 138 nucleotides. The record is from Ensembl. NCBI's taxonomy places the organism in Eukaryota, Metazoa, Chordata, Aves, Apterygiformes, Apterygidae.
AGCACUAUUUUUAAACCUGUUGGUGGAAUUUCUUACCACCAUGGGUUACGCUGUAGUGCAAAAGAAUUUCCUGGCUCUUUGGAGCAUUGCUGACCUUGCUCUGUUCAGCUGAUGCCACUCUGAAGCAAAGGAACAGAA